Molecule: ribosomal RNA, 302 nt
Filed under: uncultured bacterium
Lineage: Bacteria
Description: partial 16S ribosomal RNA
Rfam family: Bacterial small subunit ribosomal RNA
Source: RNAcentral
GCAGUCGCCGCGGUAAUACGGAGGGUGCAAGCGUUAUCCGGAUUUAUUGGGUUUAAAGGGUCCGUAGGCGGACUUAUAAGUCAGUGGUGAAAGCCUGUCGCUUAACGAUAGAACUGCCAUUGAUACUGUAAGUCUUGAGUAUAUUUGAGGUAGCUGGAAUAAGUAGUGUAGCGGUGAAAUGCAUAGAUAUUACUUAGAACACCAAUUGCGAAGGCAGGUUACCAAGAUAUAACUGACGCUGAGGGACGAAAGCGUGGGUAGCGAACAGGAUUAGAUACCCCAGUAGUCCCUGUCUCUUAUAC